AUGCACAUCAGAUCCCUUCGAGCAUUUUCAAAAUUCAAUUAUUUUAGACAACAGGCACAUAUGCAAUACUGACAUAAUCUCAAAUACCACUAAGCAGCUGGGACACAUUUUUGUUGACCAUACUCGCAGGUAAAAUAAGUAGAUCAUAUGGACAGCUCCAGCUCAUUUUCCUUAAAUCAGUGUGUACAGGGGGUAUGCAAAAAUAAUCUUUUUCUCGCGCACCGAUUAUUUUGCUGUAUAAGCAAGAGAACCCACCACGUUAGUGUAACGUAUCUUGUACAUCCCACUAAUAUGUGGUUUAAUUUACCAAGUGAGAUGAGUUACUUUUAUGGCUCAUUCAGUCAUAUCGCACUGCAAGCUGCAUUCAUCAAUCUUCAAUUGGAUUUUGCAAAUGCUUAAUGAAACAUGCUUCCCUUUUAUGCAGAUAUGCAAUGGCAAGCCCUUCCGUGUGUUCCAAAGACAAUGCCUACGCCUAGCCACAGCAGCUCCCUCAUACAGACUCCGCAAGCAAAGAGGCCGUGGAGGCAAAUGCAGCCAGCACACCUCGAACAGCCACCUUGACUGCGGGUGUGUCACCCUAGUCGCCAAGGAAACAUUUGAGGGAAAGCGAUAAGCAGUGUGAACAGCCACUUCU
Molecule: long non-coding RNA, 634 nt
Filed under: Dermacentor andersoni
Lineage: Eukaryota; Metazoa; Arthropoda; Arachnida; Ixodida; Ixodidae
Description: uncharacterized LOC126545212
Source: RNAcentral